Molecule: non-coding RNA, 81 nt
Organism: Schizophyllum commune H4-8
Lineage: Eukaryota; Fungi; Basidiomycota; Agaricomycetes; Agaricales; Schizophyllaceae
Source: Rfam
GGGCGCUUGGCACAGGGGUAGCGCGCACGCUUCGCAUCAUACGAUUGCGUGAGGUCGUGGGUUCAAAUCCCACAGUGUCCA